UUUUGCUGCUCAGCUUGCUGGAUUCAUGGCAUCUCUUUUGAUUGAUGUUCCUAGUCAGGCCCAUUGGAUUGUUGAGUUGACAAAAUACAACUUUGAAGGGGCCAUGGGGUAUCUAGUUGCUUCAGUACCUGGAAUUCAUUCUUGUAGAACUUCUUAUGCUUUUCAGUAUGCUUUGGAGUCAAUUGAUGAAAAGUUCCUGGGCUUGGUUGAAGAAUCUGCUGUUGGUUUAAGCCACCUUUUUCGCA
This 245-nucleotide unclassified non-coding RNA is filed under the name Hevea brasiliensis (rubber tree). Lineage: Eukaryota; Viridiplantae; Streptophyta; Magnoliopsida; Malpighiales; Euphorbiaceae. The record is from RNAcentral.